Molecule: ribosomal RNA, 448 nt
Filed under: uncultured bacterium
Lineage: Bacteria
Description: partial 16S ribosomal RNA
Rfam family: Bacterial small subunit ribosomal RNA
Source: RNAcentral
AAUGAACGCUGGCGGCAGGCCUACACAUGCAAGUCGAACGGAUCCUUCGGGAUUAGUGGCGGACGGGUGAGUAACGCGUGGGAACAUACCCUUUGGUACGGAAUAGCCUCGGGAAACUGGGAGUAAUACCGUAUGUGGUCGAGAGACGAAAGAUUUAUCGCCAAAGGAUUGGCCCGCGUUGGAUUAGGUAGUUGGUGGGGUAAUGGCCUACCAAGCCGACGAUCCAUAGCUGGUUUGAGAGGAUGAUCAGCCACACUGGGACUGAGACACGGCCCAGACUCCUACGGGAGGCAGCAGUGGGGAAUCUUAGACAAUGGGGGAAACCCUGAUCUAGCCAUGCCGCGUGAUCGAUGAAGGCCUUAGGGUUGUAAAGAUCUUACAGGUGGGAAGAUAAUGACUGUACCACCAGAAGAAGCCCCGGCUAACUCCGUGCCAGCAGCCGCCGUAA